This 120-nucleotide ribosomal RNA is filed under the name Helianthus annuus (common sunflower). The record is from RNAcentral. Lineage: Eukaryota; Viridiplantae; Streptophyta; Magnoliopsida; Asterales; Asteraceae.
GGUUGAGAUCAUACCAGCACUAAUGCAUUGGAUCUCAUCAUAACUCCGCAGUUAAGCGUGCUUGGGCGAGAGUAGUACUAGGAUGGGUGACCCCCUGGGAAGUCCUCGUGUUGCAACCCC